Molecule: long non-coding RNA, 631 nt
Organism: Danaus plexippus (monarch butterfly)
Lineage: Eukaryota; Metazoa; Arthropoda; Insecta; Lepidoptera; Nymphalidae
Exons: 2
Source: RefSeq, a predicted model, not a curated record
ACUCGGUCGUCGUCAUUCAGCCCACACUGUGCUCAGUGCUUCUCGCUCAUUCCACAUCUCCCGAGUCAUCAGAUAUACCAUGAAAUACCAACUGCAACGCCAUCUGCCGGGCUGAUUUGUGAAUAGUAACCAUUUGGGGCGUCACAAAAAUGCAUGUAAAGAAAUUCCUUCGAAUCUGUCCAACCACUAAGGAAAAAUUCAGUGACGUAUGGUAUAGCAGUAUAUAGAGAGAUAAAUUUUAUACUAUUUUAAUAACUAUGAAAGUGUAUUAUUCAACUUAAUGUAUUUAUUUUAUUAUCCAUUCUUUUACACUGUAUCUUGUCAGUAGGAGAUUGUUCACAGCAAUAGCCUUUGCAUAUAUUCUGCGUGCACUAUUCUCUUUUGUUUGUGUACCUAUAUUAAUAUAUUUAACUAUAUGUGAAUAACCCUGUGGAAACGGUCUCAUAAAUUCUCAUAACUGAUAGAUUCUUAUAGAAAUCUGUAUCAGAAAAUUUUUUCAAUCUUAUAAAUAUUUUUUUAACUGAUAAAUUCUGAUACCCAGUUAGCUGUUUUGUAUCAGAAUUUAUAAUACUUUUUCCACAGGGAAAUAAACGGUAAAGGGUAGAGGCGAAUAAAGAUUUUUUUAUACAUA